This 507-nucleotide ribosomal RNA is filed under the name uncultured Glomeromycotina. RNAcentral describes it as "partial small subunit ribosomal RNA". It matches the Rfam family "Eukaryotic small subunit ribosomal RNA", at positions 591 to 1092 of the family's 1831-position model. The record is from RNAcentral. Lineage: Eukaryota; Fungi; Glomeromycota.
CCAAUAGCGUAUAUUAAAGUUGUUGCAGUUAAAAAGCUCGUAGUUGAAUUUCGGGAUUGACGUAAUGGUCAUGCCUCAAGGGGUAUGAACUGUUACUGUUGAUUUCUCACCUUCUGGAGAAACUUGAUGUCCUUUAUUGGGUGUCUUGCGGAUCCAGGACCUUUACCUUGAAAAAAUUAGAGUGUUUAAAGCAGGCAUUUUUGCCCGAAUACAUUAGCAUGGAAUAAUAGAAUAGGACGGCAUGGUUCUAUUUUGUUGGUUUCUAGGAUCACCGUAAUGAUUAAUAGGGAUAGUUGGGGGCAUUAGUAUUCAAUUGUCAGAGGUGAAAUUCUUGGAUUUAUUGAAGACUAACUACUGCGAAAGCAUUUGCCAAGGAUGUUUUCAUUAAUCAAGAACGAAAGUUAGGGGAUCGAAGACGAUCAGAUACCGUCGUAGUCUUAACCAUAAACUAUGCCGACUAGGAAUCAGACGAUGUUAAUUUUUUAAUGACUCGUUUGGCACCUUACG